RNAcentral lists this ribosomal RNA (470 nucleotides) under uncultured organism. RNAcentral's name for it is "partial 16S ribosomal RNA". It matches the Rfam family "Bacterial small subunit ribosomal RNA", at positions 334 to 797 of the family's 1533-position model. The record is from RNAcentral.
CACUCCUACGGGAGGCAGCAGUGGGGAAUAUUGCACAAUGGGCGCAAGCCUGAUGCAGCCAUGCCGCGUGUAUGAAGAAGGCCUUCGGGUUGUAAAGUACUUUCAGCGGGGAGGAAGGCGAUAAGGUUAAUAACCUUGUCGAUUGACGUUACCCGCAGAAGAAGCACCGGCUAACUCCGUGCCAGCAGCCGCGGUAAUACGGAGGGUGCAAGCGUUAAUCGGAAUUACUGGGCGUAAAGCGCACGCAGGCGGUCUGUCAAGUCGGAUGUGAAAUCCCCGGGCUCAACCUGGGAACUGCAUUCGAAACUGGCAGGCUAGAGUCUUGUAGAGGGGGUAGAAUUCCAGGUGUAGCGGUGAAAUGCGUAGAGAUCUGGAGGAAUACCGGUGGCGAAGGCGGCCCCCUGGACAAAGACUGACGCUCAGGUGCGAAAGCGUGGGGAGCAAACAGGAUUAGAAACCCCAGUAGUCCC